GAUGAACGCUGGCGGCGUGCCUAAUACAUGCAAGUCGAGCGAACGGACGAGAAGCUUGCUUCUCUGAUGUUAGCGGCGGACGGGUGAGUAACACGUGGAUAACCUACCUAUAAGACUGGGAUAACUUCGGGAAACCGUAGCUAAUACCGGAUAAUAUUUUGAACCGCAUGGUUCAAAAGUGAAAGACGGUCUUGCUGUCACUUAUAGAUGGAUCCGCGCUGCAUUAGCUAGUUGGUAAGGUAACGGCUUACCAAGGCAACGAUGCAUAGCCGACCUGAGAGGGUGAUCGGCCACACUGGAACUGAGACACGGUCCAGACUCCUACGGGAGGCAGCAGUAGGGAAUCUUCCGCAAUGGGCGAAAGCCUGACGGAGCAACGCCGCGUGAGUGAUGAAGGUCUUCGGAUCGUAAAACUCUGUUAUUAGGGAAGAACAUAUGUGUAAGUAACUGUGCACAUCUUGACUGUACCUAAUCAGAAAGCCACGGCUAACUACGUG
RNAcentral lists this ribosomal RNA (497 nucleotides) under uncultured bacterium. Its description in RNAcentral is "partial 16S ribosomal RNA". It matches the Rfam family "Bacterial small subunit ribosomal RNA", at positions 28 to 507 of the family's 1533-position model. The record is from RNAcentral.